RNAcentral lists this ribosomal RNA (444 nucleotides) under uncultured bacterium. Its description in RNAcentral is "partial 16S ribosomal RNA". It matches the Rfam family "Bacterial small subunit ribosomal RNA", at positions 29 to 507 of the family's 1533-position model. The record is from RNAcentral.
AAUCAACGCUGGCGGCGCGCUUAACACAUGCAAGUCGCACGAGAAAGGGAGCAGUCCUGAGUAACGUGGCGUACGGGUGAGUAACACGUGGGAAUCUACCUCUUGGCGGGGAAUAACCCUGGGAAACCGGGGCUAAUACCGCAUAAGCUCGUGAGAGGAAAGCAGCAAUGCACCGAGAGAGGAGCCCGCGGCCGAUUAGCUAGUUGGUGGGGUAAUGGCUCACCAAGGCGAAGAUCGGUAGCCGGCCUGAGAGGGCACACGGCCACACUGGCACUGAAACACGGGCCAGACUCCUACGGGAGGCAGCAGUGGGGAAUCUUGCACAAUGGGGGAAACCCUGAUGCAGCGACGCCGCGUGAGCGAUGAAGCCCUUCGGGGUGUAAAGCUCUUUCGACAGGAACGAUAAUGACGGUACCUGGAGAAGAAGCUGCGGCUAACUACGUG